Molecule: ribosomal RNA, 314 nt
Filed under: uncultured Glomus
Lineage: Eukaryota; Fungi; Glomeromycota; Glomeromycetes; Glomerales; Glomeraceae
Description: SSU rRNA
Rfam family: Eukaryotic small subunit ribosomal RNA
Source: RNAcentral
GCAGCCGCGGUAAUUCCAGCUCCAAUAGCGUAUAUUAAAGUUGUUGCAGUUAAAAAGCUCGUAGUUGAAUUUCGGGGUUAGCAGGUAGGUCAUGCUACUGGUAUGAACUGGUUUCGCUGAUUCCUCCUUUCUGAAGAACUGUAAUGUCAUUAAUUUGGUGUUGCAAGGAAACAGGACUUGUUACUUUGAAAAAAUUAGAGUGUUUAAAGCAGGCUAACGCUUGAAUACAUUAGCAUGGAAUAAUGAAAUAGGACGUUCAAACCUAUUUUUGUUGGUUUCUAGGAUUGACGUAAUGAUUAAUAGGGAUAGUUGGG